Gorilla gorilla gorilla (western lowland gorilla) is the source of this 632-nucleotide long non-coding RNA. RefSeq lists it as uncharacterized. The transcript is spliced from 3 exons. The record is from RefSeq and is a predicted model, not a curated record. Lineage: Eukaryota; Metazoa; Chordata; Mammalia; Primates; Hominidae.
GGUCUCCUUCUGCCACCCACGCUGGAGUGCAGCGUCGUGAACAUAGGAACACAGCAGCUGCCAAGGUUGGACAUCACUCUUCCUAACACCUGGGAGAUACAUAAGGAGUGCUUUAAAUGAAGCUUCAAAUGUUUCUAGUGGUUCAAGAGGGGCCCUGAAUGUGUGGAUCCUCCAAGCUCCCCUUCUCUCUGCACUUGGCUGUGUUGUCAUUCACAGCCCAGCAACUCACCUUACAGAGAAACAAAGACCAUACUUACUCCCCAGCAGAUACAUGGGUGAUCUUUCGAGAGACCAUCAGAAAGAGGCUGCUUGGGUCCCGUCCGAGGAGAGACAGAAGACUGAGCCGUGGUGUACUCUACUAUCUGACGCAACAGCCUUUUCUGCAGGAUAUUAAAGGACUUUAUAAAUAUUAAUUAUCUCAUUCAUCCUUAUCACUUUGUGAGAGCCGAAGACAUUAUAGAUGGCCAGUCACCCAUUUCACUAGACUAAGUAUCUAAAGCCACCUUCCACACGUAAUCAUUAACAUUUCAAAAUACUUUCACCUCUUUAUUAUUCAGAGAUGUUGAGUUUAUGAAGGACUCGGUCCUUUUUGGUUCUUUCUGCCCCGCAUUAAUAAACACCUUUGAAUUACU